CCGGGUAAUUGCGUGCCUUUUGGUAUGAGGAAAGUCCGAGCUCCGCAGGGCAGGAUAACGGCUAACGGCCGCCGAGGGUGACCUUAGGGAUAGUGCAACAGAAAAUUACCGCCGGUUUAAUUACCGGUAAGGGUGGAAAGGUGAGGUAAGAGCUCACCGGCGUGGUGGAGACAUCACGGCCGUGUAAACCCUAUCCGGAGCAAUGUCGACUGAAGUGUAUUGCUUGCCCGGCAAAGUCUUCGAAGGACAGCUUGAGGUACAGGGCAACCUGUAUUCGAGAUAGAUAAUUACCUGAAAAACAGAACUCGGCUUACAGGUGCAGU
This 323-nucleotide RNase P RNA is filed under the name pig gut metagenome. Its description in RNAcentral is "Bacterial RNase P class A". It matches the Rfam family "Bacterial RNase P class A". Rfam says of the family: Ribonuclease P (RNase P) is a ubiquitous endoribonuclease, found in archaea, bacteria and eukarya as well as chloroplasts and mitochondria. The record is from RNAcentral.